Long non-coding RNA from Cavia porcellus (domestic guinea pig), 3290 nucleotides. RefSeq lists it as uncharacterized. The record is from RefSeq and is a predicted model, not a curated record. The transcript is spliced from 2 exons. Lineage: Eukaryota; Metazoa; Chordata; Mammalia; Rodentia; Caviidae.
CUAAACAAAAAGCUGAGUUCCAGCCCAGCUUUACAGAAAAGCUGCGUGGGACCAUGAUCCAGCCUUUGCAGGCUUCUCCUACCUUGUGUGUAAAGGAGGGCUGGGAGCUAAAGAAUUUCAAAACUGGAGAGGCCUGUAACUCCAUUUUUAAGUAAAUGCGAACAUGAGGAGAGUACCAGGGAUCGAACUCACAACUGCCUGCUUGCAAAGCAGACGCUUAUGCCACUGAGCUAAAUCCCCAGCCCCUAUUGAUAAACUCUUGACACAGACCCGGAAGGAACAGUCUUGCAAUCCUUGCCCAUAGGGAUGCAAGAAGUACAUCAAAGUGCCUGCAGGCAACGUGGGGCCUGUUAGGCUUCAUUGAAGAGUGCAGCAUUAAUCAUGUGGCGAGUACAACUCUGAAAUGUAAAAGAUGAAACUCCACAUGAGAGCAAUGCUAAAAUUUCCCUGAAGAAAUUAAGGUCUGUGGGUUUGAAUACUUUCCAAUAUUACUAUACAAAGAAGAUGGGAAGAUCGAAGAGAAAACAGAUAAAAGGGAACACAGAAAAAGAGGAUGAGCAGCACAGCACCUGCCUGGCAGAUGGGAGGCCCGGAGUUAGAUUCCCAGUACCAAACAUAAAUAAAUAAAGGUGGGAAGAGAAGAAAGGCCAACUUGUGAAUGCCACACACCCAGCACUAGGCUGGAACAUUGCAUCCCACAGUGUAUCUCAGCCUUUCCACAAAGGCAGGGAGGGGCUUCCUGUAAGACCAAAAAGGUUGAUGGGGGACACAGACUGCUGGGUUUGGUGACACACCUGAAACCCCAGCUGCUCGGGGCUCAGGGAAAGAUCAAAAGUUUGAGGCCAGCUCAAUUUAAGAGAGACCCUGUCUUGAAAAAAGAGUAGUGGUGUUCUAGGAAUGUUGCACAGUAGAAAAAAAAAAAAAAAAAACUGGAUUCCAUCUCCAGUACUGCAAAACAAAAGAAAAUCAAUUAAAUGAUUUAUAUCUCCAAUGGGAGGUCUAGUUGGUUAGGCAAAAACUGCUUGCCUCAUUUCAUUUAAAAGAAAAGUCUUAAGAUGGGCAGUUAUGGACCAGAGAUCAGUAAACUACAGCCACUAAGCUAAAUCUACUCUGCUUGUUUUUGGAUAGCCUGGGAGUCAAAAAAGAUUUCUGCUUUUUUAUUUUCAACAAAUGGUCUCGUCAUUUGCAGACUGCAGGGAAAGAGAACAAGAAGUCAACAAGAAGCAAGCCCUCCUUGCGAACCAGCACCAUGCAGGGUCCACCACCAAGGGAUAGGUAGCCCCCGGCCCCUUCUGCUGUGCAGGCUGGGAAACAAGAAGAGCCAACCCUGCUCCCCACCCCAAGCAACCAGCUGAUCGGAAGAAACACAGGCUGCUAUGAUAGCUAUUGUGCAAUGCAAUUUGAUGCUUGUGGUGCUUCGUGUUUCACUGACUUUGCAGGUCUAGGGCCAGUAGUCUGAUCAUCUAUCCAGAGGAUAAUGGUACACAGUGAGGCAUCUGGGGGGAUCUGAAAGUGGUAGCCAUUGCCUAUUGAAGUCUUGUAUCAUUUUCAUUGUUGGGUUGGGUUUUCUGUUUUGUUUGAUUUUGUUAUAUCUGAUGGCAUGAGCAGCUAUUUCAAAGAUAACAAGAUAUAUUAUGGUAGUCAUGUUGGAUUUACUAUUGUCUUCAAGUCCUUUAUUGUAUUCAUUGUUUUGUUUUUAUUGGUUCUGUUCUAUUUUGUUGCAUUUUUACUAUGUCGCUAUCUACAGAUAUUUUGAAGACAACAAGAGUCAUUAUGGUAACCAUUGUUAUUUUCUUUUGUUUUGAAGGCCUCUGUCACUUAUACUGUUUUGUUUUGAUUGGCUUUGUUCCAUUUUGCUUGGUUUUACUCUCUUUAAAAUAAAAAAGUCUCACUAUGUUGCCCAGGCUUCCCCUGAACUUCCAGGGUCAAGCAAGCCUUCAUCAGCUUCCUGAAUAGCUGGGGCUUCAGAUACAUGCUGCUGUGCCUGGCUUACAUCAUUAAGUGUUGUAAAAUAUAAAAAGAAUGUUUCAUGACACUAAAAUUCAGUAAAAUUUACUCAAGCAUAGUGGCUAUAGGAAGGCUGAGGCAGGUAGAUUGCUAUGAGUUUCAGGCCAGCCUGAGCUACAUAGUUCAAGGCCUGCUGGACUGCAUAAAAAGACCUUGUUUCAAAAGAACCAAUCAAUAAGUAAAAUGAAGUGAAAUUCAAAUUUUACUCUCAUAACACAGUCACGCAUUCCUUUAUAUAUUGUCUGACUGUUUGGGCAUUGCAGUGGCAGAGUUCAGUCAUAAUUGACCCAGUAAACUAUUUUCUGUAUGACCCUUUAUAGAAAAAAUUUAUAGAUCACUGCGCUAUACCAGUGCUUCUCAAAACUAAUGAGCAUAUUUACCCAUCUUGCUAAAAUGCAGGUUCUAAUUUAGCAAGUCUGGAGUAGGGUCUAAGAUGGUACAUUUCCAGCAGUUUGAAGGUGAUUCUGAUACUAUCUGCAGACCACACAGUACCAAGGCUCUGAAAACCCAUUCCACUAAUAGAAUCUUAGUAAAUGCUUUCUAGAGAAACAAGUCUUUUUUUUUUUUUUUUUUUUUUUUUUUGUAUGGGGGAUUAAACUCACAACCUCAUGCUUGCCAAGCAGGUGCUUAUGCCACUGGACUAAAUCCCCAAGCCCUAGAGAAACAAAUCUUGGAAAAUGUGAAAAACAACCAGGCACAGUGGUGCAUAGCUAUAAUUUCAGAUGAGGUUUAGGCAGGACCAGAGAAUCACAAGUUUGAGCCCAUCCUGGGCAACUAAACCAGACCCCAGCUCAAAAAAUACAAAAAGCGGGCGGGGGAUUUAGCUCAGCAGCAUAAAUGCCUGCCUUGCAAGCUCCGGGUUGUGAGGUCAAUCCCUGGUACAAAAAAAAAAAAAAAAAAAAACCUGUUGAGAUGCAGCUCAAUGUAAAAGCCCUGGGUUCAACCUUGAGUACAAAAAAAGAAAAGAAUAGAAAAGAAACAACCCAGAAGAAAAAGAGUCAAAAUUGAGUGUAGCUGGGCAUGGUGGUAUAGACUUGCAAUCCCAGCACUGGGGAGGCUGAGGCAAGAGGACUGUUCUCAAGUUCAAGGCCAGCCUGGGCUACAAAAUGAGUUCAAAGCCAGCCUGAACUCAACAACAGAGUAAGAUCCUGUCUCAAAAAGUCAAAAAAGUUGAAAGGAACAGUUAGUGCUUAUGUUUGAUCAAUUUUGCAUGCCUAUAUCUGGUAAUCUGAGCAACUAUUUUGAAGACAACAUACAAUAUAACAACCACUGUUAAUUUCCUA